GGUAUAGAUCUUUCGGGAUCUAGAGAGCGGCGUACGGGUGCGGAACACGUGUGCAACCUGCCUUUAUCUGGGGGAUAGCCUUUCGAAAGGGAGAUUAAUACCCCAUAAUAUAUCAGAUGGCAUCAUUUUAUAUUGAAAACUCCGGUGGAUAGAGAUGGGCACGCGCAAGAUUAGAUAGUUGGUGAGGUAACGGCUCACCAAGUCUACGAUCUUUAGGGGGCCUGAGAGGGUGAUCCCCCACACUGGUACUGAGACACGGACCAGACUCCUACGGGAGGCAGCAGUGAGGAAUAUUGGACAAUGGGUGAGAGCCUGAUCCAGCCAUCCCGCGUGAAGGACGACGGCCCUAUGGGUUGUAAACUUCUUUUGUAUAGGGAUAAACCUAGAUACGUGUAUCUA
Molecule: ribosomal RNA, 399 nt
Filed under: Chryseobacterium sp. Carola6
Lineage: Bacteria; Pseudomonadati; Bacteroidota; Flavobacteriia; Flavobacteriales; Weeksellaceae
Description: bacterial SSU rRNA
Rfam family: Bacterial small subunit ribosomal RNA
Source: RNAcentral